GGGAUCUGGAAACAAGGACAACACACUAAGAACUUUGUGCUUUGCAAAGUCAACAUCAGAAACCAAUUCGUUAACAAUGUGCCAAAGAUAAGUUAUCUUGCUUUUUUCUAAGGGUCUGAAGAAUUCCCAAGAAAAGCGGCAACCCGGUGUGUGUGACACGGCUCGAUUCUAGGGAUAGCUGGGUCCUCUUUUCUAUAAUCAUACAUCCCGAAUGAAUGUGUCCUCACUCAGAAACCCACUUGGCUUUUCUCUAAGUCCACAGUGUUUUUACACCCACUGGCCUCGAAGAGCCUAGGAGAGCUUAAGAGUGACUGACGGGGGUUCUAACAUUAUUUAUUACAACACACAGGCAGAAUGCUUUCGAGUCAGGCUUUUUCUUGGCUCCCGACAAUAAUAAAACAGCCCAAGGGAUGGCAGGGGGUUUUCAGAAAGCAAAUCUGUGAGUCUGUUUGUCUUUGAGCCUGUUCCAAACCAGUGCAAACCAAUGCCUCGCAUACCAUUCAAAAGGCCAGGAAAACCCAAAUUCCCUCCAGAGAUCAAAGACCAUCCCCGACUUACAUUAAAAAAAGGAAAAGAAAAGAAAAAAAAAAAGCUCAGGUUGAGUUAUGGAAUUGGCACAUGAUAGAGGAAUGGAAGUCCAAUUUACACAUGUAAACUGGCUUUAUGCAUUGUUUCUGAGGAAGCAUGUAGCUAUGUUUGGAAAUUAAAUGUGGGAAUGACAGUGUGUCUUUGGAUUGCUGGAGAAACAAAAUGAUGUAAUUUGCACGGAGGCAAAAUGUAAACAAUGACAAUUCUGCUGAAGGUCUGUUUGGCAUCAGAUAGUAAAAUCUGUUUUUGUGCCCGCAGGGGGAGAAAUGAUAAUUGCUCCGGUUUCUUAAGACAUCUUUUAAGGAGUGGAGAGAAAACCCAAACUACGCAAGAAGACAUGGAGGAAACAAACACAUAUUGGGAACACCUCCUGGGGAAGGCAGCUGCACCCAAGUCUCAGGCUCUGCUUUCAGGGGAACCCAGCCAAGACACACAUCCAGGAGGCCAGGUCCUGGGGGAGACCCUCAGGAUGCUACUUCUCACAACAGCUCUGGAGGUACAUUCUCUCAUUAGUCUAUCUUACAGAUGGGAAAAACUGAUGCUCAGGAAGGUAAAGCAAUUUGCUCAAAGCCACACAUCUAGGAAGUACAGAGGGCAGGACUUGAAUCUGGGCCCCUGACUCUAGGGACCCAUUCAUACACUCCUGAAUGCUGAAGGUGGGGAGGAGACACAAGUAACUGCCCCCAGUAUCCCCUGCACCCAUCUAGUUCCUGGACUAUAAGCUCAAACACUUCCAGGUAGCCAGGGAAUUAAUGUUAAUAUGUUCUAGUGGCUGAGUUCUAGCAAUAGGGAGUGGUGGGGAGUGUGGUAAACACAAAACGAAUUCCCAUCUAAAGGAACAGCCACUUGGGCUGCUUUCAUAAUUUAGCUCUCGUAAGUAACAAUUUACAAUAUUUGUUUACAACAGCUAAAUUAUGAAACCCCUGCAGUAAUCACAGGGCUGUAUAUAUCCCUUUGAAUCAGUGUUCAUUUUCUUUGGGUAAAUAGCCAGGAGUGCAAUCCAAUUACUGGAUCAUAGGGUAACUCUAUUUUUAAUUUUUUAAAAAAAGAUCUAAUUUAUUUGAGAGGAAGCAGGGAGAGGGGCAGAGGGAGAGGGAGAAGCAGACUCCCUGCUGAGCAAGGAGCCCCACUGGGGACUCGAUCCCAGGACCGGGACAUCAGAGCCUGAGCUGAAGGCAGACACUCAACCGACUGAGCCACCCAGGCACUUCUAUUUUUAAUUUUGUGAGGAACCUCCAUACUGUCUUCUGCAGUGGCAGCUCAAAUGUCCAUCAACAGAUGAAUGGAUAAAGAUGCGGUUUAUAUCUAUAUCUAUAUCUAAUCUACAUAAUGGAAUAUUAUUCAGCCAUGAAAAAGAACAACGAACAGCCGGAGAAAGACAAAUACCAUUUCAGUCAUAUACGGAAUUAAGAAACAAAACAAACAAAGAAACAAAGGUCGGGGUGGGUGGCGGGAGACAAACCAAAAAAGAGAUUCUUAACUAUAGAGAACAGAUGGUUACCGAAGAGGGGGUUGUAGGUUGGGGGGUUAGGUGAAGCAGGUGAAGGGAAUCAAGACUCCAAAUGCCCUGAUGAGCAGUGAGUAAUGUAUGGAGUUGCUGAAUCAUAUAUUGUACCCCCAAAACUAAGACAACGCUGUGUGUUAACUACCCUGGAAUUAAAAUGAAAACAAAGGAGCAGCCCCGACUCCUGAGAGGUGGAACCUUCCAGCGCACACUGGUUCAGAUCAGCUCCAGACAAUCUUUGCCAGGUGGGAAUGCCAAGCCAGCAUUGCCAGAGCUGACUUUUCAGAAGAGGUGAGAAACCCAGAUUUUGAUAUUAAAUUCUUUGGCAACGGACCGGGGAAAAAAUGCUAAAUAAGAACCCAUCCCUGGGCCAGAUAAAGUACGGGGCCCAAUAUCUGUGGCUCCCAUCAGCCAGGACUGGCCCCUGCGGCCACCCAUCCCCACUAGGGAGGAAGGAGGGAGUCCUUUUGGGGGAAGCGGUCCCAGAGCCUCACCCCGCGGCACGGCGACCCCUUUACCUGCAUUGUGUUCAUCCAUCGAGAAGGCCUUGUUCUCCAUGUAGGUGCGUGGCAGCUGCACGUCCUCCUCGAACGCCGUCUCCCGCAUCCGCGG
Mustela lutreola (European mink) is the source of this 2704-nucleotide long non-coding RNA. RefSeq lists it as uncharacterized. The record is from RefSeq and is a predicted model, not a curated record. NCBI's taxonomy places the organism in Eukaryota, Metazoa, Chordata, Mammalia, Carnivora, Mustelidae. The transcript has 3 exons.